AUUUGACCGUGCAAAGGUAGCAUAAUAGUUAGUUUUUUAAUUGGAAUCUUGUAUGAAUGGUUGGACAAAAGAAAUACUGUCUCUAUAAUUAUUCUUGAAUUUAACUUUUAAGUGAAAAGGCUUAAAUAUUUUAAGAAGACGAUAAGACCCUAUAAAGCUUUAUAAGAAGUUUAUAUUUAGUUAAAAUAAAUAAUAAAAUCUUAAUAUUUACUCUUAUUUUAUUGGGGAGAUAAAAUUAUAAUUUAAUAUAACUGAGUUUUAUUAAUACAAAAAUAAAUGUUUAUUAGUAGAUAAAAGAUCCCUUCUAGGGAUUUUAAGUUUAAGUUACUUUAGGGAUAACAGCGUUAUUUCUUUUGAGAGUUCAUAUCGAAAAAGAAGAUUGCGACCUCGAUGUUGAAUUAAAAUUUCUAGAUUAUUGUAGAAGUAAUCUUAGAAGGUCUGUUCGACCUUUAAAUUUUUACAUGAUUU
RNAcentral lists this ribosomal RNA (468 nucleotides) under Austinixa aidae. RNAcentral's name for it is "partial large subunit ribosomal RNA". The stretch from base 335 to 468 matches the Rfam family "Bacterial large subunit ribosomal RNA", at positions 2473 to 2606 of the family's 2925-position model. The record is from RNAcentral. Lineage: Eukaryota; Metazoa; Arthropoda; Malacostraca; Decapoda; Pinnotheridae.